RNAcentral lists this ribosomal RNA (465 nucleotides) under uncultured bacterium. RNAcentral describes it as "partial 16S ribosomal RNA". It matches the Rfam family "Bacterial small subunit ribosomal RNA", at positions 338 to 795 of the family's 1533-position model. The record is from RNAcentral.
CCUACGGGAGGCAGCAGUAGGGAAUCUUCCACAAUGGGCGAAAGCCUGAUGGUGCAACGCCGCGUGGGUGAAGAAGGUCUUCGGAUCGUAAAACCCUGUUGUUAGAGAAGAAAGUGCGUGAGAGUAACUGUUCACGUUUCGACGGUAUCUAACCAGAAAGCCACGGCUAACUACGUGCCAGCAGCCGCGGUAAUACGUAGGUGGCAAGCGUUAUCCGGAUUUAUUGGGCGUAAAGGGAACGCAGGCGGUCUUUUAAGUCUGAUGUGAAAGCCUUCGGCUUAACCGGAGUAGUGCAUUGGAAACUGGGAGACUGGAGUGCAGAAGAGGAGAGUGGAACUCCAGGUGUAGCAGUGAAAUGCGUAGAUAUAUGGAAGAACACCAGUGGCGAAAGCGGCUCUCUGGUCUGUAACUGACGCUGAGGUUCGAAAGCGUGGGUAGCAAACAGGAUUAGAGACCCCAGUAGUC